AUAAACCCCAACAGCUAGCCCACCCAAAUAAAGCAACAAACCCCAUUAAUACCCCCACACGCAACACGCCCGAUCAAACAAACCAUUUUCCCCCCUGAGUAUGGGAGACAGAAAAGGGACUAGGCGCUAUAGAACAAGUACCGCAAGGGAAAGCUGAAAGAGAACUGAAACAACCCAGUAAAGGUCAAAAAAGCAGAGACACAUCCUCGUACCUUUUGCAUCAUGACUUAGCAAGCACCACCAAGCGAAGAGACCUAUACGUUUGGGCCCCCGAAACUGGACGAGCUACUUCAAGACAGCCUAUUAUAGGGCAAACCCGUCUCUGUUGCAAAAGAGUGGGAAGAGCUUUGAGUAGAGGUGACACGCCUACCGAGCCCAGUGAUAGCUGGUUGCCUGAGAAUUGAAUAGAAGUUCAGCCUUUUGAGUUUUUCCACCCAAAAAGGAGUACCUCCAACAGACAAGAAGAAUGUCAAAAGAGCUAUUCGAAGGGGGGACAGCUCCCUCGAACCAAGACACAACUUUUUUAGAAGGUUAAAGACCAUAUUGAAUAAGGCACCGUGCCCAGGUGGGCCUAGAAGCAGCCACCCAAGAAGAAAGCGUUAAAGCUCAAGCACGAAACCUCCUCUAAUUUCAGUAGCACUCUCUUACACCCCUAAACCUAUCAGGCCUCUCCAUGCAACCAUGGAAAAGACACUGCUAACAUGAGUAAUAAGAAAGCACCGCCUUUCUCCUUGCCCCAGUGUAACCAGAACAGACUCUUGCUGGAAAUUAACGCCCCCAACCCAGAGGGACCUGAGCCACACUUUUGAAACAAGAAAACCCCUCAGCCCCCAGCGUAAGCCCCACACUGGCGGGCCAAAGGAAAGACAAAAAGAAAAAGAAGGAACUCGGCAAACACUAGCCUCGCCUGUUUACCAAAAACAUCGCCUCUUGCAAACCCAGUAUAAGAGGUCCCGCCUGCCCGGUGACGAAAGUUUAACGGCCGCGGUAUUUUGACCGUGCGAAGGUAGCGUAAUCACUUGUCUUUUAAAUAGAGACCCGUAUGAAUGGCAUAACGAGGGCUAAGCUGUCUCCUUUUUCUGGUCAAUGAAAUUGAUCUCCCCGUGCAGAAGCGGGCAUACACCCAUAAGACGAGAAGACCCUAUGGAGCUGCAGACCCCCGGCAGACUAAGUUAAACACCCUUUAUGACAAGGACUAAACCAAGUAGCCCCUGCCCCGUGUCUUUGGUUGGGGCGACCACGGGGAAACAACAAACCCCCGCGCGGAACGGAAUUUUCCUUAAGACCAGAGCUGCAACUCUAACAAACAGAACUUCUGACCACUAAGAUCCGGCACUGCCGAUCAACGGACCGAGUUACCCUAGGGAUAACAGCGCAAUCCCCUUUUAGAGCCCAUAUCGACAAGGGGGUUUACGACCUCGAUGUUGGAUCAGGACUUCCUAAUGGUGCAGCCGCUGUUAAGGGUUC
RNAcentral lists this ribosomal RNA (1467 nucleotides) under Chriolepis dialepta. RNAcentral's name for it is "partial 16S ribosomal RNA". It matches the Rfam family "Bacterial large subunit ribosomal RNA", at positions 166 to 2574 of the family's 2925-position model. Lineage: Eukaryota; Metazoa; Chordata; Actinopteri; Gobiiformes; Gobiidae. The record is from RNAcentral.